RNAcentral lists this long non-coding RNA (321 nucleotides) under Lathyrus oleraceus (garden pea). RNAcentral's name for it is "Pisum sativum (pea) long non-coding RNA (PSAT_LNC001289)". Lineage: Eukaryota; Viridiplantae; Streptophyta; Magnoliopsida; Fabales; Fabaceae. The record is from RNAcentral.
GAGCAAAACCCAAAAGCAAUUAAAAAUAUAAAGAAACAAAAUAGCAAAGGGGUGCAUAAAUUCAUUCACGGUGUAUAAAAGAAAAAAACUAAUAAAUGGGCCUUGAGUCCAAAAGAAAAAAACAAAAACAAAAAAACGAAAGGGAGGAGGGCAGAGCCCUCAUGGCCCGUGUGUGCCCCACCCGACCCCAUCGUCUCCACACCUUAAUGGGAGAAAUGCAACCAGUAACAUGAAGAAAGAAAAAAUGUCAUUGAUAAGCUUUGACCAACAUGUAACUUUCUCAAAUUUUCACGGAAUUACAGAAAUGAAUAAAGAAAAUUC